AUACCGGCUGCUCGAGUGAUGGCCACUAUUACUGGGUUUAAAGCGUCCGUAGCUUGACUGUUAGGUCUCUUGGGAAAUCUUCACGCUCAACGUGAAGGCGUCUAAGAGAUACCGGCAGUCUUGGAACUGGGAGAGGUAAACCGUACUUCGGGGGUAGGAGUGAAAUCUUGUAAUCCUCGAGGGACGACCUAUGGCGAAGGCAGUUUACCAGAACAGCUUCGACAGUGAGGGACGAAAGCUGGGGGAGCAAACGGGAUUAGAUACCCCGGUAGUCCCAGCCGUAAACAAUGUGCGUUAGGUGUGUCGGUAACCACGUGUUACUGAUGCGCCGAAGAGAAAUCGUGAAACGCACCACCUGGGAAGUACGGUCGCAAGGCUGAAACUUAAAGGAAUUGACGGGG
RNAcentral lists this ribosomal RNA (401 nucleotides) under uncultured bacterium. RNAcentral describes it as "partial 16S ribosomal RNA". It matches the Rfam family "Archaeal small subunit ribosomal RNA", at positions 473 to 873 of the family's 1478-position model. The record is from RNAcentral.